Molecule: ribosomal RNA, 1306 nt
Filed under: uncultured bacterium
Lineage: Bacteria
Description: bacterial SSU rRNA
Rfam family: Bacterial small subunit ribosomal RNA
Source: RNAcentral
AACGUACGCUGGCGGCACGCCUAACACAUGCAAGUCGAACGAAGUAGCAAUACUUAGUGGCAGACGGGUGAGUAACAUGUAGGUAUCUGCCCUUUGGCCUGGAAUAACACGAGGAAACUUGUGCUAAUACCGGAUAAGUCUUUACGGAGAAAGCUUUAUGCACCAUUGGAUGAGCCUGCACUUGAUUAGUUUGUUGGUGGGGUAAUGGCCUACCAAGACUGUGAUCAAUAGCUGAUUUGAGAGGAUGAUCAGCCACAUUGGGACUGAGACACGGCCCAAACUCCUACGGGAGGCAGCAGUGGGGAAUCUUGCACAAUGGAGGAAACUCUGAUGCAGCGAUGCCGCGUGAGUGAAGAAGGCCCUUGGGUUGUAAAGCUCUUUCGUCGGGGAAGAAAAUGACUGUACCCGAAUAAGAAGGUCCGGCUAACUUCGUGCCAGCAGCCGCGGUAAUACGAAGGGACCUAGCGUAGUUCGGAAUUACUGGGCUUAAAGAGUUCGUAGGUGGUUGAAAAAGUUAGUGGUGAAAUCCCAGAGCUUAACUCUGGAACUGCCAUUAAAACUUUUCAGCUAGAGUAUGAUAGAGGAAAGCAGAAUUUCUAGUGUAGAGGUGAAAUUCGUAGAUAUUAGAAAGAAUACCAAUUGCGAAGGCAGCUUUCUGGAUCAUUACUGACACUGAGGAACGAAAGCAUGGGUAGCGAAGAGGAUUAGAUACCCUCGUAGUCCAUGCCGUAAACGAUGUGUGUUAGACGUUGGAAAUUUAUUUUCAGUGUCGCAGGGAAACCGAUAAACACACCGCCUGGGGAGUACGACCGCAAGGUUAAAACUCAAAUGAAUUGACGGGGACCCGCACAAGUAGUGGAGCAUGUGGUUUAAUUCGAAGAUACGCGCAGAACCUUACCAACACUUGACAUGUUCGUCGCGACUCUAAGAGAUUAGAGUUUUCGGUUCGGCCGGACGAAACACAGGUGCUGCAUGGCUGUCGUCAGCUCGUGUCGUGAGAUGUUGGGUUAAGUCCCGCAACGAGCGCAACCCUCACUUUUAGUUGCCAUCAUUAAGUUGGGCACUCUGAAAGAACUGCCAGUGAUAAGCUGGAGGAAGGUGGGGAUGACGUCAAGUCCUCAUGGCCCUUACGUGUUGGGCUACACACGUGCUACAAUGGUAUCUACAACAGGAAGCAAGACUGCGAAGUUAAGCAAAUCCCUAAAAGAUACCUCAGUUCGGAUUGCACUCUGCAACUCGAGUGCAUGAAGCUGGAAUUACUAGUAAUCGUGGAUCAGCGUGCCACGGUGAAUGCGCUCCCGGGUCU